UCUUUAACUAUUUUUUGUAUCAAUUGCAAUUGCAAAGUUCCUCUUUUAUCUAAAAUUCUCUAUUCAAUCGAUUAGAUUUUUCAUAUUUGUAAAGAAAAACAAUACAUUUAUUACAAAAAAACUCUCUCUUUCUGGGCGACUCUAGAAGCGACUCAACAGUAGUUCACCGCCUUAAUUUCUUCAGUGAUUUCGACUUCCGCCGGCAGCGGAUUCUCUUUCCGGUUAUCGGAUCUAUUAAUUUCUCAUCAUGGGUGAAAAAGAUCUGUGGCUUGCUUUGCAAAAUCUCAAUUUAGGCUCGGAGAGGACACCCUUGACGCUAUCCGUAGAGGCAAAUAAGAAGCGAGAAACGGAUCAUCGCCUCAGUCUUGUGGUAAAAGGUUUGCAUCCCUCACAGAACCCAGCAGGUAUCAAGGUCAUUAUGCCAAAAAUUUGGAAACUUGAAGGGCGAAUCACAAGCCGAAUCAAUGAAGAUGGUUCUGUCCAAAUUUUCUUUCAACAUGAACAUCAAAUGCUUACAGUUCUGGACAAGGGACCAUGGACCUAUAAAGAUUGGCUGGUGGUUGUUGACAAAUGGACUCGAAGGAAUUAUCCUGAUUAUCUCUGUGUAAUCCGUUUUUGGAUCAAAAUCCUAAAUAUACCUGAUGAUUGCAAGGAAGAUAGAUCGAUUAAGGAGAUUGGGGGUGUUUUGGGUUUAAAUCAUGUGGAGGAAGUCUUCAUACAACAACCAAUUGCAGACAAAGCUGGUGAAGUAUGGGUUCGUGUUCCUUUUGACAUAUCAGGAAAGUUAAUCUUUGCACGUUAUUUCACUUUGGAAGAUCAUCGUGAGCCUGUUCUGAUUCGCUAUAUUUAUGAAAAACUUAGAAAGUUUUGUUCUACUUGUGGGAGCCUCACCCAUAUGGCAGCAACUUGCAACACCCACAUUCAGGAAGUGGAACCACUCCCUCUGCCAGCUCCUAUACAUGAGUCCAAUAUGGAGCAAAACAGAGAUACUAAUAUCCAGAUGGAUUCUGAAUCUCACACACCCACACAAGUAGCUGAUGAUACCAUGGGUGAAACAGUGGGAUCCAAUAUCAAUAUGGACACAUCAGAGCAUCAUCAACCCACGGGUUCUCAAGGAGAUAUCAUGGAAUAUUUUCAUCCAGCUGAAGUCCAAGCAGGAAUAAAUCAAACCUUUACCAUUCGUAAAAUAGAAUCUGCUUCAAUGACACAGCAAGAUAGAGGAAUUUAACGCAAGAUUGACGUGGCUGACGAUGAAGAUGAAGCUUCAACAUCUCAAAGAAGAACAAAGGCACCUGAACAGACAACGGAUGCAGGGGAGGUGGCAACCCCGAAGCCACCACUAGCAGAAUGAGGAUAUUGCACUGGAAUUGUCAGGGGCUAAAGAGGAACCCUCUGACAAUUCCUUACCUAAAAGAUAUCAUGAAGUCUUCUAAACCUGAUAUCUUGUUCCUCAUAGAAAUAAUGAACGGCUUUAACUAUGUGAAUAGUCUAGCUACGGAUCUCUGCUAUAAUCAUAGCUAUAUUAUCCCUUCAGACGGCCUUAGUGGAGGAAUGGCUAUUUUUUGGAAUGACAGUGUGCAUAUUGACUUUUUGGAUCCUCCUACUCUAAACUACACGGAUAUGUAUCUUCUUCUAGUCAUCCUACUUUUUGCCUCACUUAUGUUUAUGGCGAUCCAGAUCAGAAACACAUGAAUGCUAUGUGGGAGAAAAUGAUGGUCUAGGCCCAAGGAGGAAUGUAUCGCAGCAAGCCUCGACUAGUUCUUGGGGAUUUCAAUGAUAUCAAGAGUAAUGCUGAAAAAAUAGGAGGUCUAGUACGGUCUGAGAAUUCUUUCAAAAUAUUCAGGCGAAUGCUCCAAUCCUCUGGUCUUCAUGAUUUGAAAACAGUGGGUGCAAAAUAUACAUGGUAUGGUCAAAGAUACACACAUACUGUCCAAUCAAGAAUUGACAGAGCUGUAGCUUCAGCAUAUUGGUUAGAUGCUUUUCUUUUCCUUAAGCCUAUGUACAGCUAUUGGAUUGGAUAGGAUCUGAUCAUCGUCCACUGUUGCUUGAUACGGGUGUUAAAAAAAAAGAAGAGGAUAUGCUUUGUUCAGAUAUGAUAAUCGUUGGCGAUUUAACAAGGAGUUAAAGGAAGAACUGAAAAAAACUUGGACAGCUGAUUGUCAAGAUCUACCUGGAGAUCAAUUUCAUGAAGCUCUGAAAAGAUGCAGAUCUUGUAUGUCCCGCUGGAAGUCGUAUAAUUUCCACAACUCAGCUAAAAGAAUUCAAGAUCUAAAGGAAAAAAUCAAGCAAGCGAUGGAAGAGGAGUAUUGGAGAAUCAAAAGUCGUAUCCAAUGGCUUUAGGCGGGAGACAGAAACACAAGAUUUUUUCAUGAGAAAACAAAGCAAAGAAGAGGAUACAAUAGAAUCACGGCAAUUGCAGAUUCUCAAGGCAAGGUUUGGUACUCUGAAGAGGAUCUUAACAGAGUAAUAAUAGAUUAUUUUGAUGCUCUCUUCUUUUCUGAUUGUCAAGAAGAUAUGGCUGAGGCUUUGCAGCACAUUCAACCUCGUGUAUCCCAGGAAAUGAAUGAUGAUCUUGUAAAACCUGUUACUGAGGAAGAACUAUAUAGAGCUGUUCAUCAAAUGGCAAGAGAAAAGGCUCCAGACCCUGAUGGCUUAAAUCCAGGUUUUUACCACGCCAUUGGGCUACUAUUCGAUCAGCUGUGAUGCAAAGGAUGGGAUUUUCAGAGACUUGGUGCAAAUGGAUUAUGAAGUGAAUCACUACUGUUACCUACUCAGUUCUUGUAAAUGGUCAGCCUGUUGGGAAUAUUACUCCCCAUAGAGGCAUUCGUCGAGGUGACCCCAUAUCAUCUUACUUAUAUUUGUUAUGUACAGAGGGUCUAUCUGCUUUAAUCCAAAAGAACAUUAAAUCAGGAAAUAUUCAUGGUUUCAAAGCAAGCCGAACUGGUCCUGCAAUCUCACAUCUACUCUUUGUAGAUGACUCUUUGCUAUUCUGCAAAGCCACAGAAAGCGAGUGUUCAUCUCUACUUCACAUCCUCCAUCAAUAUGAGAAAAUUUCAGGUCAAGCUGUUAAUAUCCAGAAAUUUGCAAUUACUUUUGGUAUAGGAACUGAUUCAGAAACAAAAAAAUGUAUUAGUCAGAUUCUGGGAAUUCAUAAAACUAAGGGCUUUGGUAGAUAUUUAGGCCUCCCGGAGUUUGUGGGACGUAAUAAAACGAAUGCUUUUUCAUAUCUUGCUCAGAGAGUUGAUCAGAAAAUGUCAAAUUGGUAUACAAAAUUUCUCUCACCUCCAGGCAAAGAAGUACUUCUCAAGUCCAUCAUUACAGCUAUCCCUGCAUAUAGUAUGUCCUGCUUCUCACUGCCUUCGAAAAUCACUAACCAGAUUGAAAGAGCUAUGAUAAGUUUUUGGUGGUCUAGCUCUAAAGAAAAACAUAAGAUUCCCUGGAUUGCAUAGAGGACAAUUACUAAUUUAAAGAGAGAUGGAGGGCUGGCCAUAAGGGACCUCAAAGAUUUCAACAUUGCAUUAUUAGCAAAACAGAGUUGGAGACUACUUCACCAACCAACUUCACUGAUGGCAAGGGUAUUUAAAGCCAAGUAUUAUCCUAAGCAUUCCCUCUUUGAAGCAAAAACAAAAACCCAAGAUAGCUAUGCUUGGAAGAGUAUCACUCAAGACCAGCUCGAGGCCCUGGACAACAUAUAUACCCAAAUUUGACAGUAGCUGAUCUGCUACAACAGGGUACCUGGAAUCAAGAUUUGAUUGAACAGCUUAUUGACCAUGAAGAUAUCAAGUGUAUCAUAAAUCUGAGGCCUUCGGUUACUGGUGCAAAUGAUAUACUUCAUUGGAUAUAUACUCAAGAUGGUCGAUACACAGUUAAAUCAGGAUACCAGCUCUGGCGUAAACUAUCUGCAGAGACCUCAAGCCGUUUCUCUCUUACAAAUCAGAUAAUUUGAGGAAAAGGAGGAUGACUGCUGACAAUAUAUGCCAGAGAUGUGGAGAUUUUGAUGAGACAGUCAAUCAUCUUCUAUUCCAAUGUAGAGUCAUCAGAGAGAUCUGGGAGCAUGUCCUAAACCAAACAGCCCCAGGUACUUUCCUUAUCCAUGAUUCUUUUAGUCAAAAUCUGGAAUCACUACAGAGUUUGAGCAAAAACCAAGGAGAGGAUGUAAGUUUAUUCCCUUUCAUUGGUUGGCGUAUCUGGAAAAUGAAGAAUGAUUUAUAUUUCAACAAUAAGCAAUGGGCUAUUCGCCUAUUCCAGAUAUUAUUAAUAAAGCUCUGUUGGAUUACCAGCAAUGGAAAGAAAGCCUCACAGUUAAUAAGGACACAUCAGCAGGAGGUCAAACCAGAGAUAGAAACAUUCCUCAGGAUAUAUUACAUGCUUCCAGAGUCCUCAAAGAUCUUAUUCAUAAAGAGCAAAAUUAUGUAUGUUUUGUAGAUGGCUCUUGGAUCUCUCCAACAGAUGGAGCAGGCAUAGGAUGGGUCCUAUAUAAUCAAAAUGCGCAGUUUGUACUCCGAGGAAUGGCUGCUAUCAAUCCCAUGAAUACAGCGCUGGAAACUGAAGCAGAGGCGCUAAGGCUUGCAAUGAUUCAUGUAAACAGAAUGGGGUAUAAAAACGUUACGUUCUGUGGAGAUGCACUUAAUCUCUUCUCACGACUUCAGCAAGCCAAGCUAGGCCUCUCGCCAACAGCAAGAACACUCAGCUCUUUUAGCUCAUGUAAUAGAUAUAAAAACGCUUGCUGUGAUUGUAUAAGUUUUUUCAAAGUUCCUCGCGAGCUUAAUUGUGUGACUGAUAGGUUAGCUAAAGAUGCCAGAAUUAGAAAAUUAAACUUUGUAAUAUCAUGGAAUGAUGUAACUUCAGUUUCAAUA
Arabidopsis lyrata subsp. lyrata is the source of this 4856-nucleotide RNA transcript. RefSeq lists it as uncharacterized. NCBI's taxonomy places the organism in Eukaryota, Viridiplantae, Streptophyta, Magnoliopsida, Brassicales, Brassicaceae. The transcript is spliced from 5 exons. The record is from RefSeq and is a predicted model, not a curated record.